Long non-coding RNA from Musa acuminata AAA Group (dessert banana), 332 nucleotides. RefSeq lists it as uncharacterized. The transcript has 3 exons. NCBI's taxonomy places the organism in Eukaryota, Viridiplantae, Streptophyta, Magnoliopsida, Zingiberales, Musaceae. The record is from RefSeq and is a predicted model, not a curated record.
CUUUGCCAGAAGUUCCUCCUCCUCCUCCUCCUCCUCCUAUUCCUCUUGAUAGUAACUGAAGGUGCCGCCAUUGUUGAAGUUUGAGGAGGUUCUGCUGCUGCAAACAGGGUGAUGUGAGAUCACAAAGAAGGCUAAGUGGAUAUCUUGUUUUCCGGCAAAUAUAUGUAAUGUUAUGAAGCCAAAGCUCUUUCAAGUCAGUGUCCUUCGAGUGCAAAAAAGGGUAAAAUAGAAGAAAAACUUGAUGUUUUCUGCUAGACUACUUCCUGUUGCACCAAAAGGUAUGUAGAGGUUGAUUCUCUACAAUAGUCCAACACCCAUGAGCAAGAUUUCCA